RNAcentral lists this ribosomal RNA (606 nucleotides) under Veillonella parvula. RNAcentral's name for it is "bacterial SSU rRNA". It matches the Rfam family "Bacterial small subunit ribosomal RNA", at positions 374 to 971 of the family's 1533-position model. Lineage: Bacteria; Bacillati; Bacillota; Negativicutes; Veillonellales; Veillonellaceae. The record is from RNAcentral.
GACGAAAGUCUGACGGAGCAACGCCGCGUGAGUGAUGACGGCCUUCGGGUUGUAAAGCUCUGUUAAUCGGGACGAAAGGCCUUCUUGCGAACAGUUAGAAGGAUUGACGGUACCGGAAUAGAAAGCCACGGCUAACUAUGUGCCAGCAGCCGCGGUAAUACGUAGGUGGCAAGCGUUGUCCGGAAUUAUUGGGCGUAAAGCGCGCGCAGGCGGAUCAGUCAGUCUGUCUUAAAAGUUCGGGGCUUAACCCCGUGAUGGGAUGGAAACUGCUGAUCUAGAGUAUCGGAGAGGAAAGUGGAAUUCCUAGUGUAGCGGUGAAAUGCGUAGAUAUUAGGAAGAACACCAGUGGCGAAGGCGACUUUCUGGACGAAAACUGACGCUGAGGCGCGAAAGCCAGGGGAGCGAACGGGAUUAGAUACCCCGGUAGUCCUGGCCGUAAACGAUGGGUACUAGGUGUAGGAGGUAUCGACCCCUUCUGUGCCGGAGUUAACGCAAUAAGUACCCCGCCUGGGGAGUACGACCGCAAGGUUGAAACUCAAAGGAAUUGACGGGGGCCCGCACAAGCGGUGGAGUAUGUGGUUUAAUUCGACGCAACGCGAAGAACCU